CAGAGAGGUUGUCAACAUUAUUCUCACCAGAGAGGUUGUCAACAUUCAGAACGGCUGCACAGCUUGAGAACAGUGCCUCCUGGAGCAAAGUUAAAAGGAACAUCUUUUUACCAAAGUGGCAUAAAAGGAUGACCAGGGUUUAUUAUCCAAAACCAGGACACUUUACUGACAAUGAGCUGUAGUAAUACUUAUGCCUAGCUAACAUGCAUACUCCAAGACUGAUCUGGACAAACCAGGAUGCAUACCUGUAUGAUAUAUGGUUAUUUUGAAGCUGUGCAAAAUCUGACUCCUUAACAAAUGAGCAAACAACCAUGGCUGUCCUCAGGAUGCGGCAGCAACAGCCCUGCAAAAUCAGCCUGCCCGAUAUGUCAAGCUGUGUUUGUAUAUAUUUCAGCGUAUCCAAGCGAGGGCUUUUUAACUUUCCAUGCUACGGACGAAGCUGUACUUUCCUGAAUGGCGGCCAGGAAAAAACUUGGAGAGUUGGCAGGAAGACUGUGGGAAGCCUGGUGAAACACCAGGCAGAGAUCUGGAGCAGAGGCUUUCUACAAAGGCAGAGGAGCGAAACUCCCUUUGUUUAGCUCCACAAACUAGUACAAAUGGAGCCCCCAGAUUGCAAUCAGGCUCUAUUGUAUAAACCUGGGGCUUCCAUGCCAUACAACAUUUUUUUGGCACUGAGUACCUUAUUAUUUCUCAGCUGGAAAACCAAUUAGCAUUCUUUUUAUAUCUGGGUGUUAAUACUUGGACCUUAGAGCCAUUUUUGGCCACCGGCCCACAUGGCCAUAGUCUCUUGGGCAAUG
Long non-coding RNA from Tupaia belangeri chinensis (Chinese tree shrew), 797 nucleotides. RefSeq lists it as uncharacterized. The transcript is spliced from 4 exons. Lineage: Eukaryota; Metazoa; Chordata; Mammalia; Scandentia; Tupaiidae. The record is from RefSeq and is a predicted model, not a curated record.